This 1547-nucleotide long non-coding RNA is filed under the name Pan troglodytes (chimpanzee). RNAcentral's name for it is "long non-coding RNA NONPTRT018502". The record is from RNAcentral. Lineage: Eukaryota; Metazoa; Chordata; Mammalia; Primates; Hominidae.
AAUGUUGAACAUUAGAAACAUUUCAAAAAAGAAUAUGAAAGAGAUUAUACACUAUCAGAGGAAUUGGUGCAUAAAGUAGAAAGUGUCAAAGGCUCCUGGGGAAAAUUGCAGCUCCAUGGCAAAGGAGGGAGAAAACUGAUUUUUGUGUUUUUGUAGCUGUAUUCACAGCAUCAGGCAGAACUGUUUUAAUGUUAAAACACUCCCUAAUACCCCAAGAGCCCAUGCUUUUCAGCUUGUAAAACUUAGUAAACAUGCCUGUAAGCCUUAAGGUAUCUCAGAGUGGGGGAAAACCAAGAGGGAGUCUUUUAUUCAGAAAAAAUAUAUUUUUUUCCAAAUUUGUGAAUAUUUGUGGUCUUUUCCCCUGGUUAGCAAAACAGGCUUUAUUAUGGAAGUGAGAAGUGUCUGUAGAAAUUGCAAACAAAACUAAGUGCAUUCUAAGCCCCUCACAGCUAAUACCAUUAUGAAUGCACACUUUUCUUUAAUGGUGGUGGGCAAUAAUAUAUUGAAAAUAUAAUAAUUUAAUAUGUUAAUAAAUAAAUGUCCCAUCAGUGAAGCUCUGUGUGCCUCAACAGGAGCCUUUUGAGAGGCAUUAUUGAUAGUGGCCAGUAGAGGACAGAAAAGGUUGAACUCAGAGCAGAUGAGAGGUAAUGUGGCUUGCUGUACCUUCUCUCACUGUUGUGAUAACAGAAACCCUUUAAUGCAUCUUAGCUGCAGAUGUCUUCUUGCUUUUGUAUCUCAAAAGGAACAGCAAAAACCUGCCAGAGGCACUACUUGCCCUGCAGGUUUGUCCUCUUAUCAUCCAUUUUAGCUGAUGUAUUUGUACGUCUUAUAUUUCUGUACCAUAGUCAUUUCAUCCAGAGAGGAUUUUGAGGGAAUACAUGUUGUUUCAAGGGAACCAAGGACAAAAUGGGCAAAAUGAGACUAAUUUUAUCAUGCAGGGGAUGCGGCAGCUGCAGCAAAGGAGCCACUACUGAACAGUAAGUUAUAAAAUCCCAAACUGCUCCUUUUGGAGACUGAGUUUACACCUUACAUUGAGAAUGUACUGAUAGUGCCCUCUGCCCUUUAAUAGCAGCACUGUGACUUCCUGAUAUGUUGCUUUGGCCCUGAAGAAUCAGGUCACAUAAAAUGGGAAUGCUCUAUACUUAAGCAGCACCUUUUAUCCGGCAGGCUAAAUCCCCCUUACAACUUCUGGUUCAUUAACUCUCGUAAUAAAAGAUGUAGACAUAACAAUUCCCAGGAAACUGUCCUGUGAACUGAAAUGCCACUGAAAUGGCAUGCAUGCAACUACAGGAGGAAAAAGCAAUGUUGUUCUUUAUCAACAGCAUUAUACAAGGUGAACCUUUGACCAUAUGCGUGAGGUUGACAUUAUUGGAUCGCAUCUCAGGUCAUGGGAUGGGUGUGAAUUUAGGGCACACUACCAGAGGCAGCAUCUGGGACAGGUAGCAGAGAUUCAGGAAAGGGAAAGUAAGAGCCAUGAUCUUAAAUCUGAAGUCCAAGGAAGAAGCCAAUUUAAAAAAACAAUAGAAGCAGAUCUGUAUAAGAGGCAG